Pygocentrus nattereri (red-bellied piranha) is the source of this 652-nucleotide long non-coding RNA. RefSeq lists it as uncharacterized. The transcript is spliced from 3 exons. The record is from RefSeq and is a predicted model, not a curated record. NCBI's taxonomy places the organism in Eukaryota, Metazoa, Chordata, Actinopteri, Characiformes, Serrasalmidae.
ACACGUUUUAGGGAGUACGGAACCGUUUGGGAUUCAGCCUGGGUUUGAUGCUACUUCGGACUGAAACACGGACAUUUGAAGCGUGUGGAAGGAAGCAGAGAAGCAGGAGGUCAGCAGGGGGCAGCAUGGGAGACCAGGGAAGAAAACCAAAGAGUUUAGCAGGACAAACACAGCAAGGCAGUUAAACACAUUCCACGCACCCCUUUCAUUUGCCUGCUGAAAGGAGCGCCCUCUAGCGUUGGAGAAACCCGGAACACAUUGCAGAGUGAUAAUUCUCUCUACAAGUUCUCUGGUGGGACUUUGCAUGUUGUUUCUUACAAUAGGAUUGGACACCACAGCUUUCUGGUGACAUGAUGCUUUGGUUUGGAGUAUAAUUCGACAGGCUACAUCAUCUUACAGAUUGUUCCUUAACUAACCACUCUAAUUAUCUUAGAUUCACUCACAAUUACACCACUGCUUCAACCUCCGAAACAAAAAGAGAACAGUUUACUGUCAGGUUUAACGUAACCUACCUCAGUAUGGCCUCUGCUAUAAUCUUAACAAGUCUUGCUAGCUAAAUUCACAGUGAACUACGUUAUGCUAAUAUCGCUAGGUCAGGAUAAAGUUAUCAUCAUAUAUCAUCAUAUCAUUUUAUUGAUAGCAUUAUUUUAAU